UGGAAAAUGUAUUUCUAUAAAUACGUUUUCAAAUUACUCCCGCUUAUACCUAGUUGCCGUCAAUCAUAUCAAUAGCGCCACGCCUGCGGGUACGUAGGCUUUAUACGUCCUUUGUGCAGAUGAAGCCAUGAAUGUCUCGAAAAUCACUCCAAUUUCCCGCCUCUUUAUCCCACAACUUAACCCAAAUAACCAGGCAGAAACUGUAAAUUUGCAUUUGGGGUUUUUGGUUAGAAACAAAAAAAUUCUAAUGGGUUUGAGAGUUAGACAAAGAGGGACUAAGAGAUGGGGGUGGAACGGAAGAGAAAGCAUCAAAGCAGACGGAGAAAGAGACGAAGUGGGAGUCGAAGAGGAAGAGGCAGAUGUAGAAGCAGCUUGAAUAUAUAUAAUCUACCACGCCAGGAUGCAGAGGAAACGGGUUUUUUUGCACGUACUAUGGAAAAGGAGGCUGAAGUCAACAAUGCUCUAUCGGCCUCGGACAAGAAAGUUAUAGUGACACAUCAAAAGUCAAAUAUUAAGAUUGCUACAAGAGGCAUUCCGUACCUCUUAUCAUGAGCGUGGUUAAAGGAUGAAGGUCUAAAUUUGUAUUUGGAACUAUUAAAGGAGAGUGAAAAAAAGGAAUUGUUACCAUCCUUGAAACGCCACUUCUCUAAUACCUUAUUUUAUAUGAAGAACGUCCAAGCGCAGAUUGUUAAACUGGAAUAAAAUCAGGAUAAUCUCACAAAGAAACUGGUAGACUUCAAUUCUGAUGCUGAACAACUCUUCCUCGGGUGUGUGGCUCUUAAAGAAGGCAACCUGAAUCAGGCGAGCUUUCAGUACAUCAAAAAUAUGUACAACUCGAUGCAAGCUAUGGCCUUCAAACUUGGUGUAGAUUCCAGCACUCCUAUUACUGGGGAGUAGGGCUUUUUCUUUUGGCUUUCCGUGCUCCAUUUCAUAAGGAAUGGCUCUGUUUUGUUGUGCUAUUGAUCUCUCAUUGAUCGCUGUGUGUAAACUUUUAACCAUUCUAAGCUUAUUAUAGUUGAACAAAAGUUUUAAAAAAGAUAACCCACCGUCAUACCUAGGAGCCCAUGUACUCUCUACAUUAUAAUUUCGUCAAGUCAAAAGGAUGAUCUAAAUCUCUAAACUCUCAUAACACAUUGCCAAAGCUGAAAUUAAAAAUCGAUCCUUUCCUACUCACUGGAAUUCUGACAGCAUAUAACUCGUAAUAAUUCAAGUUUCUGUUAAUAUCUUGUUUUGUAUAGCAUCAUCAAUUAUCUCUCAAAAACUUUAUCCAUUAUCUAUUUAUCUAUUACUCAUGGUCCGAAAUGUUGAUACAAACAAACACACAAUUUAAACCAAAAACAAUAGAAAUAUAAUAUCUUUAACAUUAUUCAUAUUUGAAAUGAUGGAAUUGGUUUGCAUUCCUUACCACAAUUUUCUGGCAAUUCUUAGAGAUAAACCUGGUUCCGAAAUUGCAGUUACUGCAUGCGUCAGGGCUUUUCAUGACUCUAAUAUUGGUUAUAGAGGAUGGAUUUAGCUUUUAACAAGCCAAAUGCAAUUGUCAUUCUAUCACCAUGAUGGGAGAGAAGUGAUUCUUUCUCCUUUGUGUCCACAUCAUCGAAUAGUAUUGAACAAUCUAAAUCCCACUUAAUUAAAAUUAAUGUGAUUGCCUGUUCCAAGAUUUGUUAGUUCUGAAGAUGCCUAAAGUUAAAUUGGAUAGAGAUAUAGCACAUGCUUUUAAUUCAAUUAGAAAAAUAAACACGUCUGCAUUCAAGCACUCAACUCAACCUUCCCAAUGGCAUGUUAGGACAACUCUAUAUUAACAGUUUAUGUCAAUUGAACAACCGGUGGGAUGGGUUAUGCUGACAUUUAACCGUUGACAGUUCUGAUUGCAGAGCAUUCAUGAUCAAGUAUUGCUGAUUUCUAUGGUGGUGGAAUGCCACCGAAUUUUACACAGAAAAGCUUUGCAGGUGUGGGAUACAUGAUCCUUUAAGAAAGCAAAAUAAGUUUUUGUCAAAAAUUACGAUAGAAACAUGGUCAAAGCUAGCCAAGUCAAUGGCACUUUAAGGAAACGGGAAGACAAUCAUCCUGACCAGGCAACAUAUUCAAAGGUUGAUAUCUGGUAUUCAUCAAGAAGUUUCAUAGCUGAGAUAUAUAAGCAACAAGUAAAAGAACAUGUUACAGGUUGUUAAAGAUUGUCUUAAAACAGAGGACAUGUUUGAAAAUAUUUUCCUAGUGUCAAAGCAAUUUACUAGGCAAGUUCGGAAGGAAAAUUUGUAAUGUUGCAGGCUAGAAAUUUAGUACUAUGAACUUUAUGUAGCAAUCGGCCCAGAACAUACAAGGUAAAUAUGUUCUUUUGCUUUGCAUACCUUACGUACAUACACCAUAUUUUGCUAACCUAGAAGCCUUCUCAAUCUAGCUUGUUGAGGACUUGAGAGACUUUGAGGUUGGGGUUGUGUUAUGAACA
Cryptomeria japonica (Japanese cedar) is the source of this 2443-nucleotide long non-coding RNA. RefSeq lists it as uncharacterized. The record is from RefSeq and is a predicted model, not a curated record. The transcript is spliced from 7 exons. NCBI's taxonomy places the organism in Eukaryota, Viridiplantae, Streptophyta, Pinopsida, Cupressales, Cupressaceae.